Momordica charantia (bitter melon) is the source of this 73-nucleotide non-coding RNA. The record is from the annotation of a RefSeq genome assembly. NCBI's taxonomy places the organism in Eukaryota, Viridiplantae, Streptophyta, Magnoliopsida, Cucurbitales, Cucurbitaceae.
GUGGGGAUAGCUUAGUUGGGAGAGCGUCAGACUAAAGAUCUGAGGGUCGUGUGUUUGAUCCACACUCGCCGCG